Molecule: ribosomal RNA, 468 nt
Filed under: uncultured bacterium
Lineage: Bacteria
Description: partial 16S ribosomal RNA
Rfam family: Bacterial small subunit ribosomal RNA
Source: RNAcentral
GACGAACGCUGGCGGCGUGCUUAACACAUGCAAGUCGAACGGAAAGGCCCUGCUUUUGUGGGGUGCUCGAGUGGCGAACGGGUGAGUAACACGUGAGUAACCUGCCCUUUACUUUGGGAUAACUUCAGGAAACUGGGGCUAAUACCGGAUAGGAGCUCCUGCUGCAUGGUGGGGGUUGGUAAGUUUCGGCGGUUGGGGAUGGACUCGGGGCUUAUCAGCUUGUUUGUGGGGUAGUGGAUUACCAAGGCUUUGACGGGUAGCAUGACUGUGAGGGUGACCGGCAAAAUUGGGACUGAGAUACGGCACAGACUGCUACGGGAGGCAGCAGUGGGGAAUAUAGCACAAUGGGAGGAAGCCUGAUGCAGCAAGGCCGCGUGCGGGAUGACGGCCUUCGGGUUGUAAAACGCAUUCGCGUGUGACGAAGCGUGAGUGACGGUAAUGGGUAAAGAAGCACCGGCUAACUACGUG